Calliphora vicina (urban bluebottle blowfly) is the source of this 1069-nucleotide long non-coding RNA. RefSeq lists it as uncharacterized. The record is from RefSeq and is a predicted model, not a curated record. The transcript is spliced from 4 exons. NCBI's taxonomy places the organism in Eukaryota, Metazoa, Arthropoda, Insecta, Diptera, Calliphoridae.
UUGCAUAAAAAUAUAAAAAAAGCUGAAAUAUCAAGUGUUCAAUUUUCUUCUUCUAUUCAACUAAAACAACUGCAACAAGAAGCAGUAACAAUAACAUCAUUUUGAUACAACAAUUCAACAAAAUAAUGACUAAUUAAGCAUCUGCAACAGCAGCCACACAGCAUUACGAAUGAAAUACAACCAAUUUAAAAUUCUCAAGAAAAGAAAAUAGCAAAAAAUUGUAAUAUUUUUUAAAAUUUGUUGCACCAACUAAGACGACGCGACGUACGAGUCUAGAAAAGAAAUUUCCUUGAUGCAUUAACAAUAAAGGAUAGCCAAAGGCUUUAGAGAGACCGAGAGGGAAGAAAGAGCCAAUAAAAACGUGGAAAUUUUUGUAUUUUCUGAGCUGCUGGUGGUUAAAGGAAAAUAAGGAAAAUGUAAGACAUUCACAAAUACACGCAGAGAGACAGACAUCAACUAUUUUUCUAUCAAGUCCAACAACAAAACAUGGCUAAUGUGCAACAAGGGCAACAACUACUAUUACAACAGCAACACAAACAUCAUCAGCAGCAACAACAGCAAUCACAUUUACAAAAAACUGAAUAAUCUUUGUGAUUAGGACGUGUUGUACCCAAAACGCUCUAAUGAAGACGAUAUGGGCACAACAUGGCCUCAGCACAGCUUCUUUAUAAUAUCGAUACAAAACCAAAAAAACAAACAACUACUACUUUUACAAGAAAAACAAAAUCAAAUACUACAACAACAACACCAACAGCAGCGGCAGCAAAAACGAAAACAUCGAUUCAAUCAACUAUUGAACAUCAUUAUAAAGAAAAACUAUCAAUAUUUUGUAACAAAACGGAAGUUGAACGAAAACAAGAAGCACAGGAAAAUAUCAACGGAAAUAUUAGCAGCAGAAGCAGCCAGAGCUCUAACGCCAACAGGAAACAAUACACAGGCAACAACAGAAACAACAACAACUAUACAACAACAUUUCACAGCUCAACUAAAACAAACAAGAGAGAAAAAGUUGAAGCAAAAACUACAUUCUUAUACGCUAAAACGGAAAAUUCAUCACACGUUUCUAACA